GCACGACCUCAAAGUAGGUGUGGAAAUGGGGACACAGCACUGGCCUGGCUGAGGUCAGAGCAGCCGGCCGUGGCACAGUGCGGGGCCUCCUGCGCAGUGAAGCACAGAAGCUCCUGAUGAGGGCUCAGCUGAUUGAACUUCAGUUUUCAUCUGUAAGGAGGGAUGCCCCAAGACCGAAGUGCCCUGACUGUCCUGGCCACUGCCGGGCUGAGGCCACCCUGCUGGGGGUCUGAUCCCACGCCCCGGGGUCUGCUGUGGAAACCCGGAGUCAGAGGUGACGCCCUUCUCAUCCUCAUCCUCACGGCUGGUUUUAGCUCAUUUCCUGAACAUUUCUAACAAGGCUGCUGUUAGACUCCAUGGUCAGAAAUCACACACUGGAGCAGAGGAACCCACUCACGGCUCCAGACUCUGCGGCCGUCAGAACACGGCAGAAGAGAAACCAGAUUAAGAGAGCAAGAGAAAAAGAGAACCUCUCCAAGCAAAGCAGGGCCUGGGGCAGGAAGUGCCUUCCGCGCCUGCGCCGUCUUCUCAGAAGAGGCAGCAAAGGGGCCGGGAGGGGGGAGCUGCGCAGAGACUGUCUAGGAGAGCAGGGUAGGGCCACACACUCUCAAGAAUUUGCUCCUUGAAGUUUAACCUUGUUUUAUUGUUUUAUUUCAUUUUUAACAAUUUUAUUGAGCUAUAGUUAAUACCCCUUACAAUUCACCCAUUUAAACGGUACAAUUCAUCGUGUUUUGAUAUAUUCACCUCCUUGUGCCACCAGCCCCACGAUCUAAUCUUAACAACAUUUUUGGCCCCCUAAAGACCCCCAACAUCCUUUCCAUUAGCAGACAUUUCCUGCUCUCCUACCCCAAGUCCUAGGCGACCACUAAUCUAGUUUCUGUCUCUGUAGAUAUGCCUCUUCUAGACAUUUCAUAUAAAUGGAACCAACAACAUACAUAGUCUUUUGUGACUGGCUUCUUUCACUUAGUGUAAUGCGCUCAAAACUUAUCCAGGCAUUGCACUUAUCUGUUCCUCAUUCCUUUUUAUUGCCAAAUAAAACCCCAUUGAAUGGAUUUAUCACCUUUUAUUUAUCUAUUCAUUCAGUGAUAGAGAUUUGGAUUGUUUCUACUUUGGGGCUAUUAUGAGUAAUAUGAACACUUGCUUUCAAGUUUUUGUGUGGGUGUGUGUGUUCAUUUCUCUUGGAUAGGUAUGUAGGAGUAGAAUUGCUGGCGUGUAUGGCAACCCUAUAUUUAACAUUUUGAAGAACUGCCAAAUCAUUUUCCAAGUGGCUGCACCAUUUCAUGUUCUUUUGAGCAAUAUAGGCAGGUUCCAACUUUUCCACAUCCUUGCUAACACUUGUUAUUGUCUGUCUUUCUGAUUAGAGCCAUCCUAAUGGGUAUGAAGUAAUAUUUCAUUGUGGCUUUGAUUUGCAUUUCUCUAAUGACUGAUGAUGUUGAGAAUCUUUUCAUGUGCUUAUUGGCUGUUUGUAUACCUUCUUUGGAGCAUAUAUUCUUAAAUUCUUUGCUAACUUUUCAAUUGGAUUGUUUGUCUUUUUAUUGUUGAGUUGCAAGAAUUCUUUAUAUGUUUUGGAUACAAGUCAUAUAUGUGUCAGCUAUAUUAUCCUAUCCCACUUUGCAAGUUGUCUUUUCACUUUCUUGAUGGCCUUGUUUGCAGCACAAGUUUUAAUUGGAUGAGGUACAAUUUUUGUAGGUUUUCUUUUGUUACUUGUGCUUUUCGUGUCAUACCUAAUACUGUUGUCUAACCCAAAGUCAUGAAGUACUUUGUACUCCAUGAAGUAACAAAGUACUCCUGUACUUAGUUCAAAGAGUUUUAUAGCUUUAGUUGUUAACAUUUAUGUCCAUGAUCCAUCCAUUUUGAGUUAAUUUUUGUGUGUGGUUUGAAGUUGGAGUCCAACUUCCUUCUUUAGUAUGUGGGCAUCCAGUUGUCCCAACAUCAUUUGUGGAAGAGAAUAUUCUUGCCCCCGCUGAGUUGUCUUGGUAUCCAAUUGCCCUUAAAUGUAAUGGUUUAUUUCUGGACUCUCAAUUUAAUUUCAUUAAACUAUAUGUCUAUGCUUAUGCCAGUACCUUGCUUCCUUGGUUACUUGUAGUAAGUUAUGAAACAGAGAAAUAAGAAUCCUCAAAGACUUUUUUGGACAUUGUAUCCAAAAGUUUAAAGAAAAUUUGUUACAGAACAAUCAAAUGAGUGAGUUUCUCUUAUCUAGGGAAUUAUGAGGCAAUAAUUCCCCCAAUACUUGAGAUUCCAGUGGUUUCGUAUGUGCCUUCCAGCCGCGUCAGGCAUUUAUUACUGGGCUGUCAUGUGGCAGGCGCUGUGCUGGGCACACUGUACAAAUCUUGGUUUAUGGUACAACACCCUGAGGUUCAGAGGGUGAAGUAAGCCUCCUAAGUCUGUGAUACCCUUUGACAUGUAUAUUUGGUCUCUGCCCCUGGCUCUUGACGUUGAGCUCCUAAAUUCUUUAACAUUUCCUGGGUGAUAUGAGUGUCUUUUGCUCUAAUGAACUGAUUCUUGGUGGGCUUCUGGUCAGUUGAAGGAUGAAAGCUGGUCAGUGCAAGGUAUGAUUAGAAGCUUGGAGUUCCCAGUCCUGUGCCUCAUCUUCUGAGGAAAGGAGAGGGCCUAGAGAUUGAGUUUGCGAUAUAUCAUGCCUACGUGAUGAGGCUGCCAUAAAAACCUCUGAGCUAUGGGGUGCAGGGAGUUUCUGAGUUGGUAAACACAUCUACAUGCCAAGAGAGUGACAUAACCGACUCCACAUGGACAGAAGCUCCUGGGUUUGGGAACCUUUUGGACCUUGCCUUAUGUAUGUCUUAUCUGGCUGUUCAUCUAUAUUCAUUACAAUAUCCUUUAUAAUAAAUCAGUAAAUGUAAAUGUUUCCCUGAGUUCUGC
This is a long non-coding RNA of Manis javanica (Malayan pangolin), 2877 nucleotides long. RefSeq lists it as uncharacterized. NCBI's taxonomy places the organism in Eukaryota, Metazoa, Chordata, Mammalia, Pholidota, Manidae. The record is from RefSeq and is a predicted model, not a curated record.